CAAGGAAUAGUUUAAUAAGAAUAAUAAUUUUGGAGAUUAUUGGUAGUUUAUACUUUCUUUGA
This 62-nucleotide transfer RNA is filed under the name Histeroidea sp. 3 KM-2017. Its description in RNAcentral is "tRNA-Pro". The record is from RNAcentral. Lineage: Eukaryota; Metazoa; Arthropoda; Insecta; Coleoptera.